GACGAACGCUGGCGGCGUGCCUAAUACAUGCAAGUAGAACGCUGAAGGAGGAGCUUGCUUCUCUGGAUGAGUUGCGAACGGGUGAGUAACGCGUAGGUAACCUGCCUGGUAGUGGGGGAUAACUAUUGGAAACGAUAGCUAAUACCGCAUAAUAGCAGUUGUUGCAUGAUAACUGUUUGAAAGGUGCAAUUGCACCGCUACCAGAUGGACCUGCGUUGUAUUAGCUAGUUGGUGGGGUAACGGCUCACCAAGGCGACGAUACAUAGCCGACCUGAGAGGGGGAUCGGCCACACUGGGACUGAGACACGGCCCAGACUCCUACGGGAGGCAGCAGUAGGGAAUCUUCGGCAAUGGACGGAAGUCUGACCGAGCAACGCCGCGGGAGGGAAGAAGGGUUUCGGAUCGUAAAGCUCUGUUGUAAGAGAAGAACGAGUGUGAGAGUGGAAAGUUCACACUGUGACGGUAUCUUACCAGAAAGGGACGGCUAACUACGUG
RNAcentral lists this ribosomal RNA (495 nucleotides) under uncultured bacterium. RNAcentral describes it as "partial 16S ribosomal RNA". It matches the Rfam family "Bacterial small subunit ribosomal RNA", at positions 28 to 507 of the family's 1533-position model. The record is from RNAcentral.